RNAcentral lists this long non-coding RNA (1747 nucleotides) under Macaca mulatta (Rhesus monkey). RNAcentral describes it as "lncRNA (ENSMMUG00000063272.1)". Lineage: Eukaryota; Metazoa; Chordata; Mammalia; Primates; Cercopithecidae. The record is from RNAcentral.
AAUCAACACUCCACUCAGACAAUGCCCAGACCUCCAGAAAUCAUGUGUCAAGCUUGGAUUGCCUUAGACAGGUGCAAUUUUAAAACAGCUUUCAUCCUCUUUUCUCUCAUAUUGUCACACUAUGGGUUCUGACUUCUGGCUCCUUUCCUCACAAGAAGCUCACCCAGCUGGAACUCUUAUGGGACCUUGGCACCAGAGACCACCAAUUCCUCUUUGAAGUUUUCUAACAGCAUCAUUGGUAUUUCUGACUUGGCUUUCUUGUAUUUCUCUCACGUUAACAAAACUGGUUGAGCAUCUACCACGGGCUACAUGCUGAGCUACAGGUGCUGUUGAUGAAACUGCCAAAGGAGCUGAAUAUGACUGACAUCUUUGGAAGGAUGAGACUUAGCGUGCCCGUACAGUUGUGUCCAAAUGCUGUCCUUAUCUCCCAAUGGAAAGCCCCAAACAAGUCACAUGUGUAAUGCAGUGGGAGAGCAGUGCCCUGAAGGAAAAGGUGGCCGGCUGGACUGCCAAGAGAACAGACGUCCGCUGCAAGUAAUAUGAGCCGUCCCCAGGUUCUGCCUCCAUCCUGACGUCCAGUGUUGGAUUCCUCUUCACAUCAACCCCUCUCUGCAGGUUGGGCCAUCAGACCCUACCUCCUUAUUUAUGUUGAGCAAAGGAGAGAGAAUGCCUCUACAGACAACGAAAAAAGUGAAAAAAAAAAUCCUUCUCCUCCUUAUAACUUUAGUUAGCUUAACUUUAGUCAGUUUAACUUUAGUCAGUUGCUUAGCUACUAAACAGUAGCUAUUAGGAGGUGGGAAGGAAUACUAUUGUGUAAUCAACUAAGGCUCAUACAGAAGAUUAGGGUUAUCUGGAAUGAUUUGAAUUCAUUAGAAUUUACUCUCAGAGCUGUGGCAAUUCCUUGAACCACAUUGAUUGCUAUAAGGUAGAAGAGGAAUAGAUUGAAUUUUGGGGAGUCAACUACAAUGUGUACUACAGGUAAAUACUAUGAAUUUCCAAUUCACAGAUGAGAAAAUUGAGGCAUGUGCUGGGAGGGAGGUUAUGUAAUUUGCCCAAUAUCACAAUUGAACCUAGGCAAAAGCCUAUCUCCAGGUCUAACAAUUCAGUGACCUCCUGUGUACAUUUCUGUCUCUCUGUUUUUUAGAGUCGGGGUCUCACUGGGCCACCCAGGCUGGAUUGCAGUGGCUUGAUCAUGGAGAUCGUGGCUUUCUGUAGCCUUGAACUCCUGGGCUCAAGUGAUCCUCCUGCCCCAGCUUCCCGAGUGGCUGGGACUACAGGCUUGACAACACACCCGGCUAUCCUGUGUACAUUUCUUGAGAGCUUAUGAUAUAUAAGAGAAACUCUAAAAUAAGGGGAGGGUAUGCUAAGGGGAAGACCAAAUCACUAUCGAGGUGGAUUCAAUCCUACCUCUUUUAUUUCCUAGUUGUGUGACUCUUUUGAAAGGGGAAUAAUAGGCCAGGCACGGUGGCUCCUGCCUGUAAUCCCAGCACUUUGGGAGGCCCAGGCGGGCAGAUCACAUGAGGUUAGAAGUUCAAGACCAGCCUAGCCAACAUGGCGAAACGCCAUCUCCUCUAAAAAUACAAAACUUAGCCGGGAAUGGUGGCGUGUGCCUAUAGUCCCAGCUCCUCAGGAGACUGAGGCAGGAGAAUCGCUUGAACCUGGGAGGCAGAGGUUGCAGCGAGCCGAGAUUGCGCCACUGCACUUCAGCCUGGGUGACAGUGAGACUCCAUCUCAAAAAAAAGAAAAA